This 402-nucleotide ribosomal RNA is filed under the name Triticum aestivum (bread wheat). Its description in RNAcentral is "partial small subunit ribosomal RNA". Lineage: Eukaryota; Viridiplantae; Streptophyta; Magnoliopsida; Poales; Poaceae. The record is from RNAcentral.
AUGGCUGGGGAGGAAGGAGAACAUAAAACCUUGAUCCGGAGCUUCGUCGAUGCAGGCCUUCAUGCUGGGCCGAGGAGGAGAAGAAGGGGGGGCACGUCGAAGGUGCCGGUGGAGCGCGUCGUCGAGAUCGUUGAUGACAGCGACAUGGGCGAGGCCGUUGAGGAGGUCAUGGUUGAUGCUUUACUGCCUGAACAUGUUGACCGGGAACAAGAGGGUAAGGUGGAUGCGAGGGCGGAGGCGCAUGCCAUGGUGCAGGAUGUUGUGGAAGCCCGAUUAUUUGAGGAAGUGAUAGCCACUGGGAGCAUGGAUCGACAGACUAGACAGACCAAGUCCAUUGAUCGGUUGAUUCAACAACGAAGGAAGAGGCAGAAGGUUAUAAAAACGAGCUUGGGGAUUUACUGA